GUGAACGCUGGCGGUAGGCCUAACACAUGCAAGUCGAACGGCAGCACAGUAAGAGCUUGCUCUUACGGGUGGCGAGUGGCGGACGGGUGAGGAAUACAUCGGAAUCUACUUUUUCGUGGGGAUAACGUAGGGAAACUUACGCUAAUACCGCAUACGACCUACGGGUGAAAGCAGGGGAUCUUCGGACCUUGCGCGAUUGAAUGAGCCGAUGUCGGAUUAGCUAGUUGGCGGGGUAAAGGCCCACCAAGGCGACGAUCCGUAGCUGGUCUGAGAGGAUGAUCAGCCACACUGGAACUGAGACACGGUCCAGACUCCUACGGGAGGCAGCAGUGGGGAAUAUUGGACAAUGGGCGCAAGCCUGAUCCAGCCAUACCGCGUGGGUGAAGAAGGCCUUCGGGUUGUAAAGCCCUUUUGUUGGGAAAGAAAAGCAGCAGGUUAAUACCCCGCUGUUCUGACGGUACCCAAAGAAUAAGCACCGGCUAACUUCGUG
This 490-nucleotide ribosomal RNA is filed under the name uncultured bacterium. Its description in RNAcentral is "partial 16S ribosomal RNA". It matches the Rfam family "Bacterial small subunit ribosomal RNA", at positions 29 to 507 of the family's 1533-position model. The record is from RNAcentral.